GUUGGGCUACCACAGGCACUUAGGCGGCACAAGCUAGACUACCUUGGGUAGGUCCUUACUUGGAAAUGAAAAUCGACACGGCGUCGAGUGGGUUUUAAUCACUACUAGAUAGAGAGUAGUAGUUGGAUUACUUGGACUUGCUUCUAGCAUAGUUUUGGACAUUUGAGUAUACAUACAUACAUGUAGUAUGCUAGGAGAUGUUGCUUAUUGCAUUCAUAUAUACAUUGUUGCCAUGAUAAAGCAUGAUCUUUAUAACUUCAUAAAGUAAACCG
Molecule: long non-coding RNA, 272 nt
Filed under: Ananas comosus (pineapple)
Lineage: Eukaryota; Viridiplantae; Streptophyta; Magnoliopsida; Poales; Bromeliaceae
Description: long non-coding RNA (ACOM_LNC041563)
Source: RNAcentral